AACGGCUGUAACUCUAAUGAAACAUUGCUUAGAAACUUCAUGACAGGUCAAACUAUCAGGAUGAUGAAAAGAAUCGAAGAUGGAAGAUGAGAUGCUCUAUUUCACAUAUACGCCCUCUGGAAGGGCUGGCAAAGGCAACCACUUAAAUUAAGCUCAGGUCAUCAGACAAGAUAUUUAAUCUAUUCCUAAGACAGAAACUUCUACAGCUGAAAUCCCUAUGGCCUUUAAAGCAACACAAUGAACUACUUUGUCGUGUACUCCUGUCAAGUCAUGUUAGGUUCCUUGGUUUUUAGAAGUGAUAUUUCAUGUACUCUUAUGAGCAAAUUGCUCAGAGCAAGGAAAAGUGUUUUGGUUUAUUUAUGACCUACUAACCUUAAAUAAAGAAAAAGAAGAAGUUUUAGCCAAUGUGAAUGUUCUCAGAAGCCUGGAGAUACGAAAUGUACAUAAAAUAAAUCUGGCAUUUGUAGCAUAGACUAGCAAAAGGCUCACAUGGCCAAUCCACAGGGUUUCUUUAAAAAAGAAGAUGGAAACCAGAUGAUGGAAGAAGUAGGGGUGAAAGUCACUCUUAACCAAUAAAUAAUAUAAAAUGCAGACUAUAGAACUGAAAGUUUAGAAGCAAGCAGAGAUUUUCAGAUUGUAUUCCAGGUGAGAAAUAAACAGAAGAAUGGAUGGUAAUACUGAGCUUUCAAGUAUGUUAUUAAUAAAAAGAAGUGGAAAUGAAAAGCAGCCAGCUCUGUUGUUAGAAAUACAAUCUCAAGACCGACAACUAAAUAACUCAUUUGUCUGAUUGAUAUCAUGGAAAUAAAAUAAUAAACUGGGGAAGGGAGAAACUAUAGGAAAAAGAAAAUAAAUAUAAAUAUAAAAAGGAAGAAUAUAACACCAAUAGCACUUAGACUUAUAUAUCAGCCUAUAGUCCUUUACAGCACUCUCUGAGAAGUUUACAAAUGUCAAUAGUGAUAUAUUAACUAUGAAUCAGGAAUCAGGAUCUAUUCAUGUGGUUUUUGAUGAAUACAUACAUAUACAUUUAAAAAGCCUACACAUAAAAAUAGAAGUGUUGCCUGUUUCUUUAGCUGAUUAUCAUAGUCUUGGUAGUAACCAGAGCAAGAGAGGAAAAAUGAUCAGGAACUCUCCCUAAUGUCUUAGAGAAGGCAAUACUCUUUUGUUUCAUUUUGGAUAAGGAACAAAAAUAACCUAUUUUUCGUUGGACACUUUAAAGAAAAGGAACAGGAAAAGGCAGGAAAUAAAAUACCACAAAUUAUUAAAAAACCAAGUAUUUAAAAAUAUAGAACUGAUGGGUUCUUAAAAUGUUAGUAACUAAUUUGUAAAAUUUAAAUACCUUGUAUAUAGUUACAUCAUCCUUAAACUGUUGACAUAAAUAACGGAAUAAAAUUCUACUUUAUAAAUUCAA
Molecule: RNA transcript, 1408 nt
Organism: Pantherophis guttatus
Lineage: Eukaryota; Metazoa; Chordata; Lepidosauria; Squamata; Colubridae
Source: RefSeq, a predicted model, not a curated record